CAGAGUAGGUCUCGGCGCGUCAAGUGCCGGCAGGACGGGGAGUUGCCUGCCGGACGAAAAACCGUUAGCGGUUUGCGGUGCCGUUUCCGCAUCCCGCUGU
Molecule: non-coding RNA, 100 nt
Filed under: human gut metagenome
Description: THF riboswitch
Rfam family: THF (Tetrahydrofolate) riboswitch aptamer
About the family: THF riboswitch presents a pseudoknot that joins P1-P2 and the loop of P3 and two THF binding.
Source: RNAcentral